GACGAACGCUGGCGGCGUGCCUAAUACAUGCAAGUCGAGCGGAUUGAUGGGAGCUUGCUCCCAUCAGUCAGCGGCGGACGGGUGAGUAACACGUGGGUAACCUGCCUGUAAGACUGGGAUAACUCCGGGAAACCGGGGCUAAUACCGGAUAACUCAUUUCCUCGCAUGAGGAAAUGUUGAAAGGUGGCUUUUAGCUAUCACUUACAGAUGGACCCGCGGCGCAUUAGCUAGUUGGUGAGGUAACGGCUCACCAAGGCGACGAUGCGUAGCCGACCUGAGAGGGUGAUCGGCCACACUGGGACUGAGACACGGCCCAGACUCCUACGGGAGGCAGCAGUAGGGAAUCUUCCGCAAUGGACGAAAGUCUGACGGAGCAACGCCGCGUGAGUGAUGAAGGUUUUCGGAUCGUAAAACUCUGUUGUUAGGGAAGAACAAGUACCGUUCGAAUAGGGC
RNAcentral lists this ribosomal RNA (453 nucleotides) under Bacillus sp. OC3. RNAcentral describes it as "bacterial SSU rRNA". It matches the Rfam family "Bacterial small subunit ribosomal RNA", at positions 28 to 470 of the family's 1533-position model. The record is from RNAcentral. Lineage: Bacteria; Bacillati; Bacillota; Bacilli; Caryophanales; Bacillaceae.